GGCUGGUCCGAAGGUAGUGAGUUAUCUCCUUUGAUUGUUCACAGUCGGUUACAGAUUGAACUCCUUGUUCUACUACUUUACCCCCUUCUCACUACUGUACUUGUCUAGUCCUAA
RNAcentral lists this Y RNA (114 nucleotides) under Propithecus coquereli (Coquerel's sifaka). RNAcentral describes it as "Y RNA (ENSPCOG00000007070.1)". It matches the Rfam family "Y RNA". From Rfam's summary of the family: Y RNAs are components of the Ro ribonucleoprotein particle (Ro RNP), in association with Ro60 and La proteins. The Y RNAs and Ro60 and La proteins are well conserved, but the function of the Ro RNP is not known. Lineage: Eukaryota; Metazoa; Chordata; Mammalia; Primates; Indriidae. The record is from Rfam by way of RNAcentral.